RNAcentral lists this ribosomal RNA (233 nucleotides) under uncultured bacterium. RNAcentral's name for it is "partial 16S ribosomal RNA". It matches the Rfam family "Bacterial small subunit ribosomal RNA", at positions 122 to 354 of the family's 1533-position model. The record is from RNAcentral.
UAACCUGCCUUGGAGUGGGGAAUAACAGCUGGAAACAGCUGCUAAUACCGCAUAAUAUAUCUGGGUCGCAUGGCUCUGGAUAUCAAAGAUUUAUCGCUCUGAGAUGGACUCGCGUCUGAUUAGCUGGUUGGCGGGGUAACGGCCCACCAAGGCGACGAUCAGUAGCCGGACUGAGAGGUUGGCCGGCCACAUUGGGACUGAGACACGGCCCAGACUCCUACGGGAGGCAGCAG